Molecule: long non-coding RNA, 1098 nt
Organism: Vespa velutina
Lineage: Eukaryota; Metazoa; Arthropoda; Insecta; Hymenoptera; Vespidae
Exons: 2
Source: RefSeq, a predicted model, not a curated record
UAAAUGCAAGGCGCGCAAUUCCACGCUCGCGAUAAAGUUGAAUAUCGGAAAUUUAUGCGAAACGGCGAUCGGCCGCGUCGAACGUAGCCAGGAACGUAGCGCGAAACUCGUUUUUCUCUGACGAUUCAAAAAUCAUUUUGCUGCUUGCGCGACUACAUAUGCACAUAUGUGCGUAGUAUAAGUAGAAAUGAUCGGUGGGAAAUAUUCGGAGUCAUGGAAAGAACGGCAGCCGGGAAAAUAAUAAGUUUAGAAUAAAAUUUCUAUCUCGCUCGAGAUCGAAAUGAUUCUUUCGAUCAACGGAAGUGAAAGAAACUAUUCUACUUUUAAUAUCGUAGAACGGGAAGAAGAAUGGAAUAAAUUAUUUGAGAUAUCGAAGAGAAGACGCGCGAAGCCCCUUGCAAAAUAUAAUCGAGUAAACGAACUGCUUUUAAUGGGAAAACGAAUGACUAACGCGAUCGGAAUUGGACUAAUAAUUGGAGGAAUGCGCAUCAACAUCGCAGGCGUGCGCGCGCGCGCGCACGCGUCGCCUUUAUCGCCUCGGCCUUCCUUCUAUGUGAUUCAAUUCGAAAAACAGUUCGUUGUUCUUGCGGAUUAUGCCUCGGAUCUCGCGAGGUAGCUCACGUAGGUAGGCAGCUAUGUCUAUGACCAGAGAGCUUCGAUUAUUCGGAUAUUUUCAAAAACGAGGGCAGAAAGACAAGACAGAGAGAGAGAGAGAGAGAGAGAGAGAGAGAGAGAGAGAGAGAGAAAAGGAGCAAAAAAAUAAAAAAGAAGAAAAUGGCUAUGGUCGACGGAAGAAGACGUGUGGUCGAGAGGCAGCGUGUGCUAUCGACGGCCCGGUCACGAAGCUACUAAGGUGAAAAUACAGAAAGAGAAGAGGGAGUUUUUCGCGGCGUCUCUGGCAACGUCGAUACGGUCGGCUGCCUGGCCACCCGGCCAGCCUCGACCCUGAUGAUGCGCUAUCGACGAUUAUCGGUUCGCGUAUACACAUGCGAGUACAAUGUUUACAAUGUCAUCUGUAUAUGUAAUACUUGCAAUAAUCUCGUACAUAAAUAUACGCAACAGUAUAAAGUUCCUCGGAGAAAGUCCGAAAUCAAUUAA